CCUACGGGGGGCAGCAGUGGGGAAUAUUGCACAAUGGGGGAAACCCUGAUGCAGCGACGCCGCGUGAGCGAAGAAGUAUUUCGGUAUGUAAAGCUCUAUCAGCAGGGAAGAAAAAAAUGACGGUACCUGAGUAAGAAGCACCGGCUAAAUACGUGCCAGCAGCCGCGGUAAUACGUAGGGGGCAAGCGUUAUCCGGAUUCACUGGGUGUAAAGGGAGCGUAGACGGCCAUGCAAGCCUGGAGUGAAAGCCCGGGGCCCAACCCCGGGACUGCUCUGGGAACUGUGCGGCUGGAGUGCGGGAGGGG
Molecule: ribosomal RNA, 305 nt
Filed under: uncultured bacterium
Lineage: Bacteria
Description: partial 16S ribosomal RNA
Rfam family: Bacterial small subunit ribosomal RNA
Source: RNAcentral